AUGCACCAAAAAAACAAAAUGGAAAAUUUAUCACCAUUGGAUCGAUCAACAUUUUAAACAAGUACGGCAUUAGAACUGUAAUCUCAAAAUCUUUGAAGAACACACACAUUAUUUAUGUUUUACGCAUUUUGUUGGGCAGCGCUUUUUUGUAACUUAUGCAAUUGUGCCUUGGGAGGGAUUUAUUUUGUUUGCGAAGCGUUUUUUUCUGGUAUUUUUCUCGUGUUUCCAGAGAGACUUCGUUCUCAGUUAGUCUGUAUGCACACUUAGAUUUUUUCUCGUUGUUCGGUAAAUUUUCUUACCGGAAACGUACUGUAAAUAAAUAUUUAACUGAGGUUUCGGUAUGACCAACGAGAUUUACCGAACAACCUUGAAAAAAUAAAAAAAAUCAAAACAAUACUACUUCGCUUUUACCGAUACCGUCGUUUUUUUUACCGAAAAAACUGUAAAUCGUUUUGAUUCGCCGAAGGCUGUAAUUUUUUACCGUACUUCAGUUCACAGUGCUCAAUGCUUUACCGAACGAAUAGUAAUCUGAAAUUUCUGAGGCCGCCAUAUUUGUUUCUAAGUUUCUAAGUGCUAAUCAUCAAGAUAUUGCAUCUGUUUUUCCAAAAACUACAGCAGCGGGAUGAGUGACUAGUAGGUAUUUUCUUAUACAACUGAAAAUGUACGUUCCGGACUGCAGCAUCGCAUUAACGAGCAUGACCAGUGACCACCCAUGACGGAAACGGUGGCGGUUUUCUUCAUAAGGGGUGAACAGCCGAAAUUAGCGUUCAAUGUCCCACCUGAGCCUGCUGAUGAUGUUUAAUUUCCUGCCUCCAUUUACACAAAGCAGCAGAAUUAGUAAAAUAAAUCGAUUUGUUGCAUUUGAUUUCAAUAUGGA
Long non-coding RNA from Aedes aegypti (yellow fever mosquito), 877 nucleotides. RefSeq lists it as uncharacterized. The transcript is spliced from 2 exons. NCBI's taxonomy places the organism in Eukaryota, Metazoa, Arthropoda, Insecta, Diptera, Culicidae. The record is from RefSeq and is a predicted model, not a curated record.